GUCAUCUUAUUUUUCAUUCAUCACCAUCUAAAAUAGAAAUGAAAAACCAUGGAAGAAGCUUGCUAGGGCUCGGCACAUAUUUGGCUUAAUUAAGUGAUUUGAAAGCUCGCUCGGGUUGGAAGUCAUCGAAGAUUUCAUCACACUAUCCAGGAGUUGAUUUGGUAUUUUUGAACUCUUUGAAAUUGGUAAUAUGACAUGUAUAGGCUAGUUGAUGUUUUGAGAUGUAUGAGUUAUGUAAGCUAUUGAAGCUUAUAUGCAUUGAUGUGUUUAAGACAUGUGAUUUGGCUUAACUUGGUUAAAUAUUGGGUUAUGUUUAUGUGUACUAGAUAUGGCAUGUUUUGGUAAGUAGUUGAUGGAAUGAGGAUAUGUAAAUGGUAUGGAUAUGUGAAGGAAAUAUGAAUCGAAAUUGUUGGAAUAAUAGUUAGUACUUGGAUGUUUAAGGUUGAAUUAUUGAAUAGGUUAUAUGUGUAUUUUGGCUAAUGAAUCAUAUUGGUUUGGCAUAUGUUUGAAUGCACAAA
This is a long non-coding RNA of Gossypium arboreum, 518 nucleotides long. RefSeq lists it as uncharacterized. The transcript is spliced from 2 exons. Lineage: Eukaryota; Viridiplantae; Streptophyta; Magnoliopsida; Malvales; Malvaceae. The record is from RefSeq and is a predicted model, not a curated record.